Long non-coding RNA from Cyprinus carpio (common carp), 769 nucleotides. RefSeq lists it as uncharacterized. The record is from RefSeq and is a predicted model, not a curated record. The transcript has 4 exons. Lineage: Eukaryota; Metazoa; Chordata; Actinopteri; Cypriniformes; Cyprinidae.
CGCGCCCAGCAGCAAAGCCGCCGCGUCUCCUCCGUCAAACGCCUCGGCGGCCUGGACGAGCGUCAGGAGGAAAAGGCAGAGCAUCAUGCGAGAGUUUUGGUCUUUGGGAGCCAUGUUGUUGGUCGCCUGUGAGGAGGGAAGCGCAAGAGCAAUGACGACGCGUCAGAGCUCAGAUGCCGGCCGAGACGAUGGGCGACGGGUCUCAUGACUCAUGGCUGGACCAGUGAAAGAGAGACACUGUGAAAUGACUUCAAGCACUUCUGAAUUCCCCCCUCGAGUGCAAGCCUCUGUCCGAGGAACCAAAAUCCAAAACCAUUUCAUGGGCCAGUGCCUGGGUGAUUACAACGAGACCUUUUUGCCUCUCAAAGGCUAACGUAUGGCCACUCAAGCAAAACAUCUUGCAUCUUCAUUUUGUAGGUUCACCUUUUGAUUACUGCUUUGAAAACCUCUGCAGAAAUGUAUGGCGUUACCGAGCCCAAGUACCGAGUAUCACCCAAAACAAAUUCAAAAUACAGAGACACUCAUGCAUAUGACACACAUUUGUGGUUAUCAUUUCUGGGCUGUACUCAUUGUCUUUCUUCAAUGCUUUGUGUAUAUGUCCUGUGGUUGGUUAUUAGAAUUAUUGUUAGCAACUAUCAAUGCCAUUCAGUAUCUGAAACCAUUAGUGUCUUAAAUUGCAUUUUUCUAAUUAAAUACAAUUUUUCCCAUUACAAAUUAUGUCAUCAGCAUGACAAUUUGAAUGAAAACUUGAACUGAAAAAUGAACAUGA